Molecule: ribosomal RNA, 253 nt
Filed under: uncultured bacterium
Lineage: Bacteria
Description: partial 16S ribosomal RNA
Rfam family: Bacterial small subunit ribosomal RNA
Source: RNAcentral
UACGGGGGGGGCAAGCGUUGUUCGGAAUUACUGGGCGUAAAGGGCUCGUAGGUGGCCAACUAAGUCAGACGUGAAAUCCCUCGGCUUAACCGGGGAACUGCGUCUGAUACUGGAUGGCCUGAGGUUGGGAGAGGGAUGCGGAAUUCCAGGUGUAGCGGUGAAAUGCGUAGAUAUCUGGAGGAACACCGGUGGCGAAGGCGGCAUCCUGGACCGGCAUUGACGCUGAGGCGCGAAAGCCAGGGGAGCAAACGGG